This is a non-coding RNA of Odocoileus virginianus texanus, 605 nucleotides long. NCBI's taxonomy places the organism in Eukaryota, Metazoa, Chordata, Mammalia, Artiodactyla, Cervidae. The record is from RefSeq and is a predicted model, not a curated record.
UGAACGGAAAGGAAAAAAUUAAAUGAUGUAUGUCUGAGUAUAUUCAGAUUGUACUUUAUAUAAUAAAUUACUUUUUAAUGCAGCCACAAUUCCUAAUUUACAUCAAGAAUUGUCCACUUCAGUGGCUCAUUAGAUAAAUUGAGCCCAACUAACCAACACAAGCUUAUUACAAAUGCACAUCUGGAAUGUGAAACUAUUACAGGAAACUCAUUGAAAGAGGAAUUUCCUGUAAAGGGAAUCCUUGAUUUUUCAAUAAAAGAGGAAACAUCUUUUCUGGGUUCAUAUAGAUAAUAUGGAUUUAGCCAUGAUCUGUUCCUCAGUUAUAAUCACUCACUGCCUUUCAAAGAGAGAUUCAUGUCCCUGCAGGUCUCUAUGAGAUACGCCUCUGGAGCAACAGUGGCUGACCUUGGAUCUAUGAGACUGUCCGCCAGUUAGACCGCUAGUGUCGGCUUUAUGCAUGGAGCCCUGUGUAGUGAGCUGCCAGAAUGAGCUGAGGUCUGAAAAUUGCUCAGCAGGACCAAAGCAAACUCCUUUCAUGGUUUCACUUGCCAAUGACCACUGUCUUGAUAACUUUUUUGGAAGAAGAGGCCAUAGUUCAAGAAAAC